This 5762-nucleotide long non-coding RNA is filed under the name Nicotiana benthamiana. RNAcentral's name for it is "long non-coding RNA (NBEN_LNC020462)". Lineage: Eukaryota; Viridiplantae; Streptophyta; Magnoliopsida; Solanales; Solanaceae. The record is from RNAcentral.
AUUAUUGGUGAUUAUUUGGGUGAAAGAGAGGAGUUUCCUCUGAAAGUUAUGCAUGCAUAUGUUGAUUCUUUUAAUUUUGAAGGUAUGGACUUUGGUGAAUCAAUCAGAUAUUUCCUUAGAGGGUUUAGAUUACCUGGUGAAGCUCAGAAGAUUGACCGUAUAAUGGAGAAGUUUGCGGAGCGCUAUUGUAAAUGCAACUCAAACUCUUUUACCAGUGCAGAAACAGCUUAUGUGCUUGCUUACUCUGUGAUAAUGCUCAAUACAGAUGCACAUAAUAGCAUGGUGAAAGAUAAGGUACCCUGGGAAUCUCUCUGAAGUGUUUUUCUCCUAGGUGUAUGAUCCAGUGCAUAUGACAAGAGGGGUUGCUCUAUGGUUAGCAACCCCCACUUCCAACCGAGAGGUUGUGAGUUCGAGUCUCCCCAAGAGCAAGGUNNNNNNNNNNNNNNNNNNNNNNNNNNNNNNNNNNNNNNNNNNNNNNNNNNNNNNNNNNNNNNNNNNNNNNNNNNNNNNNNNNNNNNNNNNNNAGUUCUUGGAGGGAAAGAUGCCGGGGGUCUAUUUGGAAACAGUCUCUCUACCUAAGGGUAGGGGUAAGGUCUGCGUACACACUACCCUCCUCAGACUCUAUUAAGUGGGAUUAUACUGGGUUGUUGUUGUUAUUGUAUGAUCCAGUGCAUGUUUUCCUAAAUUCUCCCAUUAUUGUCUGCUACUUUCAUUCAUUUCUACCCUUAGGGGCGGUUUGGUUUGAAACACGUUACAUGAAUUAAUAGUGCAUGGAUCGAAAAUUUGGGAAAAUGUAAUUACCAAAAAAAAUUAAAAUAAUACAGGGAUUGUAAUAUGGGGUUUAUUUCCUGGUUAGAUGUUUACAAAUUCCUGGUUAGUUUGUUAUAUUACAAAUUAGUACACAAUCUAUAAUUUAAAAUAUGAGUUUUACCUUUUCAACAAAAUAAAAGUUUUCUACUAUUAUGAGGGUUAGUUUUGUAAUUAGUGCUUAUAUUCAUGUAUUACCGAUGGCCACAUUCUUACCUCUCACUCUUUUCCACGUGAAAUAAUAAUAGCUUUCCAGCCAACUUAUGCAAGUAUUAUUUAUGGAAAGAAAAAGUAGCAACCAAAUAUUGUAUCAGUUAAUGUGGAAUUGUGUGGCAGACAUUAAGGACCUGUUUUUCCAUACAGAAUUUUUCCUUUUUUCGAUUCUUUUUUUUUUUCCAACACUUGUUUGGUUAUACAUUGGAUUGAAUUUUGAAAAAUAAAUUUGAAGAUGUGUUUCCAAAUUUGAAAAAGAGGGUUUUACCACUUUUUCAUGUAAAAUUUAUUUUUCCUCACAAAACUGCAAUUUUCAUGUCCAAACAUAAUUUCAAGUUCCAAAUCUUUUUUCUACUCUAAAAAUUACUUUUUUCAUAAAUCACAAUUUUUAUGUCGAAACGCCUGCUAAAUCUCCUCAUGACCCAACCAAAUGACUAGCUUACUGGCUUGUUGAACCUGUGUCACCCGAUCACAUAGAUUAGUUCAUAAAAUACAACUUAUUAAACUUUAGUUCUUUUGCAAUGGGCCGGAGCUCAAAGUUACUGUAGUCAUUGCAAAAUAUUGUCCUUGAACAAAUAUAUUCUUAUUCGAGAGGUUGGUAUUGAAUUUGUCUAUGUUUUCUUGAGGAUGACAAUAAGAAAGAAAAAUAUGUCCAGUAUAUAAGUUUCCAAUAGUAUUAUUAGUGGCCAUAUUGGACAAGGAUUAGAGUAUAAGAGUUGUGACUUAUGACUAUGAGAAGAGCUCAAGACCAAUAUUGAAUAAAAGACAUAAUGUGCUUGAGAGUUGGCUAUAUAUACACCUUGAAAUUUUUUGAGCUUAUCACAUUCAUUAUUGUUUAUAGGAGAAUAGUGUAAUGGUUGAUUGAAGGUGCCACAUGCACAUCUCAAUAGCUUUCAAUCUGGGGUGUCUGUUAUUCAUUCAUUCACUCAUUCCAUUCUUUGGUAUUAACAACUUAGCCAAUUUUGGAGGCAAAAUCACUAGGUGAUUUCUUCCCAUUUGUCCAAGCCUUCGUGGACAGAGUUAUCCGUUACUUGUACUGGUUGGAGAUAGUAGGUGCUCCAUAGAGAUGCACGCAAGCUGGCCCAGACACCAUGAUUAUAAAGAAAACAAAAACAAGUUCGCCAAUUUUCCCUGCUGUCAGCUUAAUGCAGUGAAAGAUCAAUAGACUAUGCAAAUUUGACAUUCUAGGAAUAGGUUAAAUAGUACAUAACAUGCAACACGCUAAUGGCGAACCCCAAUAGAUAAAGGGGCUGUUCAAGCCUCUUGUCCUUCCUUAUGAGUUUUUACUCGGCAUUAAAGUAUAUAAUAAGAAUUCUAGUGAAUGAAAAAUAAUGGAGUAAUAUAAAAUAAAACCCUCGAAAUAAGAUGGUUAGUGAUUUUGUGCAUAUAAAUUCAUAGCUAUAUUGACAGCUGAGAAUUUGAGUAAAAGAGGAUAACAUAUGCCAACGGGUGCUUCAAGUGCAAAUGUCUAGGUGAAGAUGUGGACCACCUCCUCCUACGUCAUUGGGUGACAACUUGCUUGUGUUUUGAGAUGGUUUGGGAUGCAGUAGGCAAUGUCGGGCACAAUGGAGGAGGCACUGGCCAGUGGGAAAUUCAGAAGGAAACAGAACUUGAUGAGUUGGGAAUGUUGCCCCUCUAGCACUUAUGUGUUGGACCUAUGGAAGGAAAGAAAUAAGAGAGCUUUUUAUAGGAUAGAAAACAACUACGUGCAUUUGAGGAAUAGCCUCUCCUUCCGAGUUUCUUUUAGAUGCACCAAUAGAAGAUUGAGUGUCAUUCUUAGAGAAUCAUAUUAUGUUGUAGAUUCUCUACUUUUUAGUAUGCUGCUAGCAUACGGGAGAUUUUCCCAUUAGUAUAAAAAUAAUUUUCUUAUGAAAAAGAUCCAUAGUAUAAGGAAGAUGGCGUAGAACGUUCAAGGAUAGUGAUGCUUAGCUAAAAUAAGCUCAAAAGGUCAAAUUGUGUCAAUGUGUAUGGACUCUAAGAAUUUAAAACCUUGUAAAGCUAUAUUUGGAUGAAUUUGCUACUACCCUAAUUAACAAUAUUUUUAGUUGAAUAUGAAUUCUACAUGUAAUAGAUUCUGUUUGUGAAUAUAAAUUUUGAAAUGAAGACUUCUAAAAAGUUUUCCGUAUUUGUGAUUUUUAUAUAAUAUUAACAAGAAUGAUGUCCCUUAUCAAAGGGAAUAUUAAGAAAAGUUAUGUCAAACCAGAUAGAGCUUCGCAGUGAAUGUUAAAUAUCAUUCUGUUAGCUUAUAAUUAAUGAUCUUGUAUUAGGAAAUUCAACGGCGAUCUUGAGUUUGCAUGAAAGGAUAGUGUACAAGUCACGGAUAGUCUACAAGUAACGGAUAUGAGUUACCAAUUAUUUUUGAUAUUGACUGAUAUGGUUACCAAUAGUGCUGCAACCAAUUAUGGGGGAGGCAACAUCUUCAUUUUCCAGUAUUUGAGACUUUGAGAGCACAUAGUUAUUGGGUUGGAGAGUAUCUUUUUUGUCUGUUUUAGUCUUUUACAUUUAGUCUAUGCACUUGGUCAUCUUAACUUAGUUACACAUGUAGAUGUUACUUGUAAAAUAAUGUGAUUGGUUUUCUUCGGAAUUAACUGUUGUAUUUCUCCAUUUAGAUGACAAAAGCUGAUUUCAUCCGGAACAAUCGAGGCAUUGACGAUGGGAAGGACUUACCUGAAAAUUAUUUGGGGGCUCUCUAUGACCAAAUAGUGAAAAAUGAGAUAAAGAUGAAUGCAGAUUCUUCUGUGCCACAAAACAGAUUGACGAUGGGAAGGACUUACCUGAGGAUUAUUUAGGUGCUCUCUAUGACCAAAUAGUGAAAAAUGAGAUAAAGAUGAAUGCAGAUUCUUCUGUGCCGCAAAACAAGCAGGGUAACAGUCUUAAUAAGCUUUUGGGUUUGGAUGGUAUACUGAAUCUAGUAUGGAAACAGAGAGAAGAAAAACCUCUGGGUGCCAAUGGGGUUCUUGUGAGGCAUAUUCAAGAGCAGUUCAAAGCAAAAUCUGGAAAAUCGGAGUAAGAUUUAAUUCCACAUGUUGACUUUUGAAUCUACUUUCUGGCUGCAUAAUUACCAAUUGUCAGACGAUAGGAAUCUAACUCUUUCUUUACCAUCUGCGUACGGAUUGAUAUUUUCUUUCAAUGAGUCGCUGCAGUCUGUAGAAUUGCGAAACUAUCACAUAUACGGACUAUUGAAAGGAUUGUGUGCCUUAUAGUCCCCAUACAUAUGAUUUAGUAUUCUCAAGCUGGCCUCAUAUGUCUUCUUAGCAUGGAUUUUCUUGUUCAGAUGGAAAAGAAUGCAUAAAAUUAUAUUAUGUCCUGUUGCAGGUCUAUCUAUUAUGUCAUUGCAGAUCCAGCUAUAUUGAGAUUUAUGGUAGAAGUCUGCUGGGGUCCCAUGCUUGCUGCUUUCAGUGUCACCCUAGACCAGAGUGAUGAUAAGAAUGCCACUUCUCAAUGUUUGCUGGGGUUCAGGCAUGCUGUGCACAUUACAGCUGUGAUGGGUAUGCAGACGCAGAGAGAUGCUUUUGUCACAUCUAUGGCAAAGUUCACUUAUCUUCAUUGUGCUGCAGAUAUGAAACAAAAAAAUGUUGAUGCAAUGAAAGUAAUUUCCAUCUCCCUCAAUUUCUGUCAUGUCAGUUUACCAUCUUAUGCUCAGACGGUAGCAAACUUGCAACAAAUGAAGAGUAACCCUACAUAAUAAUACACGCACGCCACAUACCUUCUUUUUCUAUGAAGAAAAAUAAUUAUAUUAAUAUGGGAAAAAUUUCUGCAUACAACAAGUGCACCAAAAGGUUGAGAGUAAGCUCUACAAACUACACAUCAUUUUCGAUACAAACAAGAACCUUGUCUAUGCACUAUAAAAGACCAAAAGCAAGAAACUAUUCCUCAAUUGUACAAGUUACUUUCAAUUCCAUCAAAAGCUCUACUAAUUUUGGAGGACAAUUCCUUUAUGCAUCUUUUGGACUUUAUGGCUGGAAAGAUACAAGAGAUGCUUUGAAGGGAAAAGAAGACAUAUCUCUAGAAUUAAGAAUUAAUGUCUUCUAUUUCUGGUGUAAGACUAGUAUUUUGGAGAUGUAGAUCAAUUUUGGUCUUCAUUGAGAUGCUUGCGAAGUUAUUGUAACUGGCUUUGUUGGAGCCUUCUUUCAUGUGGUACUUUAUUUAAUGAAACCUUUACCUUAUCCAAAACUAAUAAUAAUAAUUCCAUCAACAGUUCUACUAAUUUGAAACUCAUGCAGAAUAACAUCCUUCUAAUUGCAUGCAGACAAUAAUGUCGAUUGCCAUUGAAGAUGGGAAUCAUCUUCAUGAAGCUUGGGAGCAUUUUUUGACGUGUCUGUCUCGAUUUGAGCAUCUGCAGCUGCUGGGGGAGGGUGCACCAUCUGAUUCCUCUUUUUUUACUACCUCGAACUCUGAAUCUGAGGAAAAGAUAUUGAAGUCAGCUGUAUUUCCAUCACUGAAGAAAAAAGGGACACUCCAAAAUCCAACUGUUGCUGCUGUUGUUCGAGGCAUUGAAGUCAGCUGGAUUUCCAUCACUGAAGAAAAAAGGGACACUCCAAAAUCCAACUGUUGCUGCUGUUGUUCGAGGGGGUUCAUAUGACAGCGCAACUGUUGGAGCUAACUCUCCAGUAUUGGUGACUCCAGAACAGAUAAAUAACUUCAUUUCAAACUUAAACUUACUUGAUCAGAUCGGCAACUUUGAACUAAAUCACAUAUUUGCUCAUAGCCAAAGGCUGAACAGUGAAGCAAUAGUUGCUUUU